CUUUGAUUUAUAUUAAGGUUAUAAACAAAAAAGUUUCUUUUAGUACAAACCUCGGCGGUUUAUGUUGAUAAAUGUGUUUUUUAGUACUAUAAAUCUAUGGAGACUUUUAUUAAGUCGAAUUCAUUCAACACUCGGAUACGUUCACAUUUUAUUGUUAAUUGUAUUAUAUUGCUGUCUCCAAACAAUUGAUGUUUAUUGAAAGAGAAUAUAAAACAUAUUUACGUCUAAACGCAGUCUUAUAAAGUAUAGUGCAACUCUCUAUUUUAUGUUAGUGCCAACUGGCAACAAAUUAUUUUUUAUUGUCAUCUUGAUGUUUUGGAAUUGCAUUAUAUGUGUAUGUGUUUUUCAAUAUUACUCCUCCCAGUGCCAGAAUGAGAGGAUUAUUUACAUUUAAAGGGUGGAAUACCACCGAAAUCAUGCAAAAUAAUGACAUGUUACCCUAUGGAAGUUUAUUGCUGGGAUAGAAUUCUAGUAAAAAAGUAUAUGUGUUAAAGGAACACUCCAUAACCACUACAGCCAGGGCCGCCACCAGGGGGUGACAGCCAUGAUGGUUGUCACGGGCCCGGUGUUCUUGCGGGACCCGGACUGCACUGGCAAUCCUCUGCAUGUCUGAGCCCUGCCCUCCGAUGUGCAUAUAUAUAUAUAUAUAUAUAGUGUGUACCACUAUAUAUAUAUAUAUAUAUAUCUGCAGGCCCUGCUGGCUUCCAAGAUGGGCCCAGGAUUCAUUGACCUCCACCUACAGCACUAUCGCAAGCCGCGGCUGUAAAUUGUUGCUGUGGGUUGCCAUGACAAUGCCCCACGGCACGCAAUGCAUGCUGGGCUCACAACAGAAGUAGAGCACUGGCUGCUGGAGGUGAAGAUGGAAACUGCUGGGCCCCUCUUUGCUGGCCCAACCAGUUGAGCCACCGGACCACCAGGAAAUCCAGUGUCUACCCCACAGCAGCAUUUGUACAACAUAAAUACACAUCCACUACACACACACACAUCAUCCAACACAUAAACUACAUCCACUACACAAACCCACACAUCACCCACUACACAAACACACACACACAGCAUCCACAACACAAACAUACACACACAGUAUCCACCACAUAAAUACACAAACUGCACCCACUACACAAACACACACUGCAAUUAACAUACACACAGCAUCCACUACACAAACACACACUCUACAUUCACUAUACACACUCUGCAGUCACUAUACACACUGCAUCUAAUACACGCUAACACUACAUAUACAACAAAAACAUACCCUCUAAAUUCACUAUACACACUCUACAUCCACUAUAUACACCACACUACAUCCACUACACAAACAUGCAUUCGGCAUUCACUAUACACACACUACAUCUACUACACAAACAUGCAGUCUGCAUUCACUAUACACACGAUACAUCCACUACACACACACACACACUCUGCAUUCACUAUAAACACUACAUCCACUAUACAAACACAUACUCUAUCCACUACACAAACACACUCUGCAUCUAAUAAACAAACAUACAACCUGCAUCCACUAUAAACAUCACAUCCACUUUACUCACACACUUUGCAUCCACUACACACAUUCUAUAGCCACUAUACACACACACUUCAUCCUCAUGGAAUGAAUCAGAAUGGGCACUGUGGGUGGAUUUAGGGGUGGGACAUGUGGGCGGACUUGAGGCGGGUCAUGUGCAUGGGCUUGGGGAUGGGCCCCGUGACCUGAAUUUCAAAAUAGGGGAGUAAGAAUAGUACUCCAUCUCAGUUAUUGUCACAACUUGGGCUGCAUCACGUGCCCCAAAAUUUCUGGUGGCAGCCCUGACUACAGCACAAGCGUACCUUGGCUUCCCCUCUAAUGUAAGUAGUCAAAUAUUUUAAAACAAUUGGACUUCUCACUUGGGGUCCACUAAACACUGCUCCAGUCUCUAAUACAGCUACAUAAGAGCUACACUUUCUGAGUUAAGCCUGGCAAUGCAGGGCUUUCCUUAUUGGCUGAGAGGGAUUAGCUCAUGGAGGAGUUUUUAGCUCUCUGAAGGCUGUAGUGGAGGCACGGUGAACCACAGGGAAGAAGUAAAACUGUUAUAAAACAGUUUAACUAGUUACAAAACAGAGGAUCCAGAGCAUGUCUGGUACAGUAAUCACUACAAGGUGCUGUGGUGCUUACAAUUUUGCUUUAAGAAAUUCUGGGAUGUAGCUAAGGCUCUCACUAAUAACAAAGAAAGUAAAAUAAGUAUAAAUAUAUAAGCAAAACAUAACUCAGAUGCUGACUAUAGUGUUUGUGAGAUCAUGCCAUUUCCAGGCUGUUUUUAAUAAUGCAAUAUUUAUACAUCUCCUGAUAUAAAUGAAUAACCCAAAAUAUAACAUUUACAAAAUGGACUUUGAGAGAUUUAAGUAAUUUUAUUUCAGAAUAAUUCUAGCAACUGUGUCCGUAUGCUGAAAUAAUUACUUUAAAUACAUCUAAAAUGGCUUGACUACUUACAAUGGGGUGGGUGCCAAGACACUCCUUGCAACAUCACCACUACUAUGCACUGUUGUGUUUAUGGUGCUUGGUGUGUUCCUUUAAAGAACACAAAUGAAAGUAUUUAGAAAAUUGGACAGACUAUAUGGGCAGAAUGGCUCCGAUCUGCCAUCACAUUCUAUGUUUCUAUAUUUGGAGCUAACAUAUUAAAGUUAAUCAAAACUCACUAACAAGGAUAAUGGUUCCAAAAUCAGUUUUCACACAUCCAAACCAUUUCAAGAGUUAAGGAUUUCCCAGUCUUUCUAUUUUUUUCACAAUUAUAAAACCUGAAUCAUUGAGGUGAAGAAAGUCUAGAAGUGAAAAAUAAUAAUUGUUUAGCUCGAUUUGUCGACAGACCAAUUUAAGAUAAGUAAAUAUUUUGUUGCGGUAUUAACUUUUACUUGUAUGUAGAGUUGAAAUAUAAUUCUAUGUGUGCGUAGAAUUAAAAAUAAACCACUAGACUAAAGAGGAGCAAGAGCUCAAAAAAGGGAUGUACCACCCAUAAUCCACUGCGCAAACCAGAAAUAUCAUAGACCAGUAAUAUCUUCUCAUUUGAUAAGACAACCACAGUAAUGUCCAAACUAUUUAUGAGCCAGGAACAAAACCCUCCCUUGGUUAUCCAUAAUCUGAAAUAAUAUAAAUUAACCUGAAUGUAAGUCUUGACUAAGAUAGGCCUUGAUUUAAUACCGUUGGUUCGAUAAGCAUUUCAAAUGAUUUCAAAUCUUUGGAUAAACUUUUAAAAUUAUUUUUUCAAAAUAUUAAAAUAUCAAAAUAUAUCUCAAAUAUAAAAUUGUAUCAAAAUAUUCCAAAUGUAAAAUAUUUUUAAAAAUAUUAAAUCAUUUUAAGUGUAUCCAAAAAUAUUAACUUGAGG
Molecule: non-coding RNA, 3359 nt
Organism: Pelobates cultripes (western spadefoot toad)
Lineage: Eukaryota; Metazoa; Chordata; Amphibia; Anura; Pelobatidae
Source: the annotation of a GenBank genome assembly